UUAACGGCCGCGGUAUCCUGACCGUGCAAAGGUAGCAUAAUCACUUGCCUAUUAAUUGUAGGCUAGAAUGAAAGGACAAACGAGAAUACACCUGUCUCCUUUAAGCCCCUAAAAAUUUAUCUUUAAGUGAAGAAGCUUAAAUAAACGUGCAGGACAAGAAGACCCUAUAGAGCUUUACCUAUAAGCCACAUAAACAGUGGUUAGCGGUUCGGUUGGGGCGACCAGGGGAUACUAACCACCCCUAAAUUAUAAGAUCAACUAAUCCUAUCAUAGAUCCUUUAUCAAGAUCAAAGAAUCAAGCUACCUUAGGGAUAACAGGCUAAUCCUCUUAGAGAGCCCUUAUCGACAAGAGGGGUUGGCACCUCGAUGUUGGCUU
This 376-nucleotide ribosomal RNA is filed under the name Tubifex tubifex (sludge worm). RNAcentral describes it as "partial 16S ribosomal RNA". It matches the Rfam family "Bacterial large subunit ribosomal RNA", at positions 1924 to 2538 of the family's 2925-position model. Lineage: Eukaryota; Metazoa; Annelida; Clitellata; Tubificida; Naididae. The record is from RNAcentral.